UUUUUCCAUUAUUUAAGACGAAUCUGGCAAAUAUGUGUAACUAAUAUGCAUAAAAAAUGUGUCCCAUUAUAUGACCAAAGUAAUUUAAUUUAAUUUUCAGUCAACUUAUUCUCUGUUACCAUGAGAGGAAAGCUUGUAUUAGUUCUUUUCACGUUAAUACUUGUUCAGGCAAUUGCAGCAGUUAAAUGGUAUGAUUUUUACAAGAAUAUAAACUUGCCCAUCAUCGGAACGUCUGUGAAGAAAUAACAAAUAAAAUCGCAAAGUUAUAUGAAGACCUCUGUGAAUUUUUAAUGAAAUAGGAUGCUUUACCAUUAUUUAUAUUCACUUACUUCUUUGUCCUGCUAUGACUAAGUGAUUGAGUGAAUAUAAAUUUUAUUUGAAGUCUUCUGUUAUAGACAAUGACAACAAUAAACUUUUAUUUGAACACAUUUUCAAAUUAACAAAUAA
Drosophila willistoni is the source of this 447-nucleotide long non-coding RNA. RefSeq lists it as uncharacterized. Lineage: Eukaryota; Metazoa; Arthropoda; Insecta; Diptera; Drosophilidae. The transcript has 2 exons. The record is from RefSeq and is a predicted model, not a curated record.